CAGCCGCCACGGGAAUACGGAGGGGGCUAGCGUUGUUCGGAAUUACUGGGCGUAAAGCGCACGUAGGCGGCUUGGUAAGUUAGAGGUGAAAGCCCGGAGCUCAACUCCGGAAUUGCCUUUAAGACUGCCGAGCUAUUAGGUGAGAGAGGUAAGUGGAAUUCCGAGUGUAGAGGUGAAAGUCGUAGAUAUUCGGAAGAACACCAGUGGCGAAGGCGGCUUACUGGCUCAUUCUAGACGCUGAGGUGCGAAAGCGUGGGGAGCAAACAGGAUUAGAUACCCGGGUAGUCCCUGUCUCUUAUAC
Molecule: ribosomal RNA, 301 nt
Filed under: uncultured bacterium
Lineage: Bacteria
Description: partial 16S ribosomal RNA
Rfam family: Bacterial small subunit ribosomal RNA
Source: RNAcentral